AGGAACGCUAGCACGGCGCCUAACACAUGCAAGCGAAGGGGCUUUUCGUAGGAGAAGCACCCGCGUACGGGUGAGGAAUCGUCUGAACGGAUCUAUGUGACCUUGAAUAGGGGAUAUUUAAAGGCUUUAACGAACAGAGCGCACAUAGACUGGCGGACGAGGGAUUAGAUAGUUGGUGAGGUAAGGGCUUACCAAGUCGAUGAUCCCGAGCGGGCCUGAGAGGGUGAUCCGCCACACUAGGACUGAGAACGGCCUAGACUCCGUUGGGAGGCAGCAGUGGGGAAUCUUGGACACUGGCUUAACGGCUGAUCCAGCGACCGUGCCUGCGUGAGGAAGGUCUUUGGACUGUAAAGCGCAAACGCACGUCUUUAAGAUAAAAAGCGUGACGAAAGCCCCGGCAAACUCCGU
This 408-nucleotide ribosomal RNA is filed under the name uncultured bacterium. RNAcentral describes it as "bacterial SSU rRNA". It matches the Rfam family "Bacterial small subunit ribosomal RNA", at positions 31 to 506 of the family's 1533-position model. The record is from RNAcentral.